CCAGCUUCCCAUUCCCCUCGCAGAGCUACAAUUCCACAGAGUGGCUUAACAAUCAACCCCUCUUCACUGGAAACACUGGGAAUUGUAGCUUUGUGAGGGGAAUGGGAGUCUC
Molecule: non-coding RNA, 112 nt
Organism: Podarcis lilfordi (Lilford's wall lizard)
Lineage: Eukaryota; Metazoa; Chordata; Lepidosauria; Squamata; Lacertidae
Source: the annotation of a GenBank genome assembly